This 323-nucleotide ribosomal RNA is filed under the name uncultured Glomus. Its description in RNAcentral is "SSU rRNA". It matches the Rfam family "Eukaryotic small subunit ribosomal RNA", at positions 569 to 897 of the family's 1831-position model. Lineage: Eukaryota; Fungi; Glomeromycota; Glomeromycetes; Glomerales; Glomeraceae. The record is from RNAcentral.
AGCAGCCGCGGUAAUUCCAGCUCCAAUAGCGUAUAUUAAAGUUGUUGCAGUUAAAAAGCUCGUAGUUGAAUUUCGGGAUCAAUAUGUUGGUCGUGCCUUUGGUACGUACUAGUUUAUUGGUUUCUUCCUUCUGACGAACCAUGAUGUCAUUAAUUUGGUGUCAUGGGGAAUCAGGACUGUUACUUUGAAAAAUUAGAGUGUUUAAAGCAGGCUUCACGCUUGAAUACAUUAGCAUGGAAUAAUGAAAUAGGACGUUUGAUUCUAUUUUGUUGGUUUCUAGGAUCGACGUAAUGAUUAAUAGGGAUAGUUGGGGGCAUUAGUAU